RNAcentral lists this ribosomal RNA (272 nucleotides) under uncultured bacterium. Its description in RNAcentral is "partial 16S ribosomal RNA". It matches the Rfam family "Bacterial small subunit ribosomal RNA", at positions 524 to 794 of the family's 1533-position model. The record is from RNAcentral.
UACGGAGGGUGCAAGCGUUGUUCGGAUUUAUUGGGCGUAAAGCGCGCGCAGGCGGAUUUGAAAGUCAGGUGUGAAAUCUCGGGGCUUAACCUCGAAAUUGCGCCUGAAACUCCAAGUCUUGAAUACUGGAGAGGGAAGGGGAAUUUCUCAUGUAGGGGUAAAAUCCGUAGAUAUGAGAAGGAACACCAGAGGCGAAGGCGCCUUCCUAGACAGUGAUUGACGCUGAGGUGCGAAAGCGUGGGGAGCAAACAGGAUUAGAAACCCCCUGUAGU